Long non-coding RNA from Triticum aestivum (bread wheat), 2803 nucleotides. RefSeq lists it as uncharacterized. The record is from RefSeq and is a predicted model, not a curated record. NCBI's taxonomy places the organism in Eukaryota, Viridiplantae, Streptophyta, Magnoliopsida, Poales, Poaceae. The transcript has 2 exons.
UCGUGGGUCUUGAGGAGACGCUCUAGAGGAGUAGGGACGCCGCCGCCGCUGCCGCUCGAUUCGAGCUUGAGAGGUUGGGACGCUGCCGUCUUCCUGCUGCUUUAAUCCAGGCUCAACUGCCCGUGGCCCGUGGGGCCGCCGCCGCUGCUUCAGGGCCUUUCACGUGUUAUGUGUUGUGUGGGCAUAGCAUGGAUCAUGGAAAAGGGGUUUCACCGCUGUGGCGGUCGAGCUUGGGAAGGACGUUGCCUCCCAGCGUGGAGGAAGAUGUGGGUGGGUGGAGGAUUGGGGGCUUGAGUGCUCUGGAACGGCGCCUCCUCUCUCUGGAACGACAUCAGUGGACGAAGCAUCCUCAACGGCGGUGGGGAAUCAAAUUCCCACUUUGGAAUGACGGUGCCGGACUAACGCAUCCUCGACGGCGAGGAAUCAGAGCACGUCAUCAAGAGAUGAAGGACAAAGGCACGUUGGCUCGCAAGGUGCUGGUUUGUCCUAGAUACUAUCACCUAAAAUAAGAAUGUAAUUAUGUGAGUCCCCACUAGCAUUGGAUCAUGAAUUCUUGAUUAUUGGCAACCAAUGAUUGCUGCCUGCUAUUGUUUUAAUAUUGCCGUAUAAGUAUUUUUCUAACUUGCAAGUUCCUCAAUAUCUGUUGAUUGUCUACUAAACAAAACUGAAUGCCCACUCACAAACUUGUUUUACUUUUUGGCUAGAUGAUACAUGCUCACUUUAAUUUUUCUCCUACAAUUUCAGGAAGGUGGGCUAGGUUUUUUUGUAGAGCAAGCACAUCUAGGGACCUCCUUUGCUUGAUGUUGCUUUGUUAAUAGGACAUCUCACACCUGUGCUGAUGGACAAAGUAAUACUGAUAUAUAACCAUGCUUAUGCCUACUAUUUAUGUCCUCUGCUUUGUCUUGAUUCUUUUAUACAAUUGGUUAAUAUGUGUAUGACACACACACUCAUUAGGUGCUAAUCUUCUCACGUUAAUUAUUUCUAGAUACUGGAUUUUGUGUGUUGGAAAAACUGAACUUUGAUGAAGUGGUUGAUUCUGUUAGAAAAUGUGGCUGAGAGACGAUACUGCAUUAUCUCUAUCUUAUUUGGACUAAUUUUCUAAAGCUAUUAUCUUCUGUUGUGGCUCGUGCUUUUUUGGCUUGUACAUCAAUUAUUUCUUGGUCAAGGUAUGCAUAGAAUUUUUUGGAUACACCAUUCUCUAGACUGCCUAAGAGCAGUACAAGCUUACCACACUAUUAGACUAGAGUAUUUGACACUCCCAUGAUUCAGAAUGUGUAUGUUUUAUUAAUACAACCUGAUUGUAUGCCAUUUCCUAAUUUUCUGUGUAUGUAUAGAUAAAUCUUCUCCAGUUUGCAAUUUCCUAAUUUUAGCAUGUACUAAUCUUCUAUGUAAACCAAAAUGAUACUCACGGCUCUACUCACCUCCUCCUGUUUGCAAAUUUUGUAGUUGUAUACUUUUACCAGAAAUGAAUGAUACAAAAAUUGUAUCUUCUCUGAUAAGCAAUAUAAUAGUUUAUAUCUUUCAUUUUGGAUGCAAGAUUUUGAUGAACUUAUUGAUUGUGAGGGAGGUGACUACAAAACUUCAGGACCAACAUAGGAUUUCUAAAUUUGGUACAACUAAAGAUGAAAGGAUUACUAAAACUGGGUACAUCUAAAGCCACUUCAGCCGUACUACUUGUUUUAUGAAAAAUAAUGAUAUAUGUGCAAACAUCCAUCCUGUACAUGAUGGCAAUCCUCUUUGUGAGUUUGUUUGCAAUGAGUUUUCUGGUUUACCAAUCAUGUGAUUACCAAAUGGUCCAUGAGACCUGAGUUCUAUUUUUGUCGGCAAAUUGUUAGUUGUGGAGCAAUUUCAUUUACCAAGCUAUUGUAACGUGGUGGAAACUAAAGUUUGUGUAAACGUUAUAUUUAUCAGUGAAAAUCUACAAACUCUUCUUCAACUUCAAGGCCUCAUGUUGCCUCUCUCUGUUUGUUGGUUAUGUCUGAUAUUUCCUAUACCGAUUCAUCCGGGAGGUUUAGCAUUAGCUCUGUUACUGUUCUUUUAUUGAUAGAUGCAGCGCUGCCCCUACCAUCUGUGUUGUUUGAUGCACACAAAUAAGCACCGUAACUAUGAUGCAAGAUUUUACACUUGGGACUAGCUGAGAAUUUAUAGUUUUAAUCUUUAUACAUGAUAUAGUAAUAUAAGUUGGUUUUACUGAUUUUAUUGUUUGCUUCACAGUUACACAGAGCUACAUAAAGCCUUUUGUGUGCAACGAUCAUGAGAAGAAAUUUAUUUGGCAACAUAAUAAGUAGGAGGGAACAAAUAAUCCUGAUGUGCAACUGUUUUAUUACCUAUGCAACCUGUAGCCAGUAGCAAUAUCCUGGAUAAUAUCUACUUCCGACUAAUAAAAACAUCUUAUAUUUUUGUACAGAGGGAGUACAUAAUUAGUACUGUUUGUUUUAAUUUUCUAUUGGUUGCAGUUGUGCUUGAUGUCUUGCGGGUUGACCAGACAAGUAUUGACAUCUGGAGAUCAUCUUCAGUGCCGGACUGAUCUCAUGUGCUGUCAAGAGCUGCCGCUGGUGCCAAUCAAUUUAGCAGUCCUCCUAAGGACAAAUCAUGAUUUUACUGGCUGAAUACCACUAUUCUAGAAUGUUGAGUCGGUUAUUCAUAUAAAGAGAGAAAAAUGAAUGAGUGUUGCUGCUGUUUAUCUUGGAUCAUGAUUGCACCAGAGAAGCACAACAUUUGUUUGGACAUAUUGACAUGACGACAAUAUCAAGCUCUUUGUUUGGGCAUCACACAUAUAUGUGCUUCCUCCAUCUUCACAGCA